UGGUCGAUCCCGGUCGGUGGACAGACGGGAGUGGACAAUUUUGGGUCGACCCAGGUCCGCCAUCCCGACUGCAACUGGCGAACGGCAGCUGGCCAUUUUGGCCGUAGGUGGACUGACGGAGAGUGGACAAUUUUGGGUCGAAGUUGGUUGACCCGGGUCCGCAAUCCGGACUGCAACUGACCGAACAGCAAGUGGCGAGAACAGCCCUCUUCGCGCGCCACUGCCAAAUUUGGCCUUAGGUGGUCGAUCUCGAUCGGUGGACAGGCGGGAGUGGACAAUUUUGGGUCGAAUUUGGUCGACCCAGGUCCGCCAUCCCAACUCGACUGGCCGAACGGCAGCUGGCCAUUUUGGCCGUAGGUGGUCGAUCCCGGUCGGUGGACAGACGGAGAGUGGACAAUUUUGGGUCGAAGUUGGUUGACCCAGGUCCACAAUCCGGACUGCAGCUGGCCGAACAGCAAGUGGCGAGAACAGCCCUCUUCGCGCGCCUGAAAACUUCUGUCAACUCCGGUCUCCGGUCAACUCCGGUUACAGAUGGAAGGAUUCGAGGAAAACUUCUGGAAGAAGGCGGAAGCACAAUUGAAGUGCCC
This is a long non-coding RNA of Culex quinquefasciatus (southern house mosquito), 587 nucleotides long. RefSeq lists it as uncharacterized. The transcript is spliced from 4 exons. NCBI's taxonomy places the organism in Eukaryota, Metazoa, Arthropoda, Insecta, Diptera, Culicidae. The record is from RefSeq and is a predicted model, not a curated record.